UACGGGGGGGGCAAGCGUUGUUCGGAAUUACUGGGCGUAAAGGGCUCGUAGGCGGCCAACUAAGUCAGACGUGAAAUCCCUCGGCUUAACCGGGGAGCUGCGUCUGAUACUGGAUGGCUUGAGUUUGGGAGAGGGAUGCGGAAUUCCAGGUGUAGCGGUGAAAUGCGUAGAUAUCUGGAGGAACACCGGUGGCGAAGGUGGCAUCCUGGACCAACACUGACGCUGAGGAGCGAAAGCCAGGGGAGCAAACGGG
This 253-nucleotide ribosomal RNA is filed under the name uncultured bacterium. Its description in RNAcentral is "partial 16S ribosomal RNA". It matches the Rfam family "Bacterial small subunit ribosomal RNA", at positions 524 to 776 of the family's 1533-position model. The record is from RNAcentral.